UACGAAGGGGGCAAGCGUUGUUCGGAAUUAUUGGGCGUAAAGAGCUCGUAGGCGGCUUGUCGCGUCGAAUGUGAAAACUCGGGGCUCAACCCCGCGCUUGCAUUCGAUACGGGCAGGCUCGAGUUCGGUAGGGGAGACUGGAAUUCCUGGUGUAGCGGUGAAAUGCGCAGAUAUCAGGAGGAACACCGGUGGCGAAGGCGGGUCUCUGGGCCGAUACUGACGCUGAGGAGCGAAAGCGUGGGGAGCGAACAGG
This 253-nucleotide ribosomal RNA is filed under the name uncultured prokaryote. Its description in RNAcentral is "partial 16S ribosomal RNA". It matches the Rfam family "Bacterial small subunit ribosomal RNA", at positions 524 to 776 of the family's 1533-position model. The record is from RNAcentral.